Molecule: unclassified non-coding RNA, 433 nt
Filed under: soil metagenome
Description: partial contains 5.8S ribosomal RNA, internal transcribed spacer 2, and large subunit ribosomal RNA
Rfam family: 5.8S ribosomal RNA (bases 1-120)
Source: RNAcentral
GAUGAAGAACGCAGCGAAAUGCGAUACGUAAUGUGAAUUGCAGAAUUCAGUGAAUCAUCGAAUCUUUGAACGCAUAUUGCGCUCUCUGGUAUUCCGGAGAGCAUGCUUGUUUGAGUAUCAGUAAACACCUCAACUUCCAUAUCUUUUUUGAAAUGGGAGUUGGACUUGAGUGAUCCCAACGCUUUUCCUCACCGAAAAGUGGCGGGUUACUUGAAAUGCAGGUGCAGCUGGACUUUUCUUUGAGCUAUAAGCAUAUCUAUUUAGUCUGCCUAAAAAACAGAUUAUUACCUUUGCUGCAGCUAACAUAAAGGAGAUUAGUUCUUGUGCUGACUGAUGCAGGAUUCACAAAGACAGGCUUCGGCCGACUUUGUAAACUCGAUCUCAAAUCAAGUAAGACUACCCGCUGAACUUAAGCAUAUCAAUAAGCGGAGGA